RNAcentral lists this long non-coding RNA (367 nucleotides) under Physcomitrium patens. Its description in RNAcentral is "long non-coding RNA (PPAT_LNC003016)". The record is from RNAcentral. Lineage: Eukaryota; Viridiplantae; Streptophyta; Bryopsida; Funariales; Funariaceae.
AUUUUAAUCGUAAUUUUAUAAUUAACUGCUUUUAAUAACUAAAUCACUCAUCUGUCCUCUUGAAUUUCCUAUUAUAUGAACUAUUAAUAUAUUUUACCAAUAUCUUUUAAAAACGAAUUAAUAUCAUUUCUACAAUUAUCUUAUAGAAUCUCAAGAGUGUCCAUCCAAAAUGAAUUAAGAUAUUAGCUCUCAAUACUUUCAAGUACAUAAAUACUUAUUAGACUUUAAUAAUAUUAAUAUACAAGCUGACUAUGGGCCAUUGAUAAAUCUUUCAAAUUAAGAUACUUACAUGAUUAUCAUGUAAUAUAACAAAAAAAUGAAUAUUAAAAAACUAACUUGAAGUGUUUCAAUUUUUUUUUUUUUUUUU